AUAUUGGACAAUGGGCGCAAGCCUGAUCCAGCCAUGCCGCGUGAGUGAAGAAGGCCUUCGGGUUGUAAAGCUCUUUUGUCCGGAAAGAAAAGCCUUGGGUUAAUACCCUGAGGUUCUGACGGUACCGGAAGAAUAAGCACCGGCUAACUUCGUGCCAGCAGCCGCGGUAAUACGAAGGGUGCAAGCGUUGUUCGGAGUGACUGGGCGUAAAGGGCGCGUAGGCAGGAGAGUAAGAAGAUUGUGAAAACCCUGGGCUUAACCUGGGACGUGCAGUUUUGACUGCUUUUCUUGAAUGUCUGAGAGGUUAGUGGAAUUACAGGUGUAGGAGUGAAAUCCGUAGAUAUCUGUAGGAACACCGGAGGCGAAGGCGGCUAACUGGUGGAGCAUUGACGCUGAGGCGCGAAAGCGCGGGUAGCAAA
Molecule: ribosomal RNA, 419 nt
Filed under: uncultured bacterium
Lineage: Bacteria
Description: bacterial SSU rRNA
Rfam family: Bacterial small subunit ribosomal RNA
Source: RNAcentral